RNAcentral lists this signal recognition particle RNA (296 nucleotides) under Oncorhynchus mykiss (rainbow trout). RNAcentral's name for it is "Metazoan signal recognition particle RNA (ENSOMYG00000057050.1)". It matches the Rfam family "Metazoan signal recognition particle RNA". From Rfam's summary of the family: The signal recognition particle (SRP) is a universally conserved ribonucleoprotein. It is involved in the co-translational targeting of proteins to membranes. The eukaryotic SRP consists of a 300-nucleotide 7S RNA and six proteins: SRPs 72, 68, 54, 19, 14, and 9. The record is from RNAcentral. Lineage: Eukaryota; Metazoa; Chordata; Actinopteri; Salmoniformes; Salmonidae.
GCCGGGUGCGGUGGCAUGUGCCUGUAAUCCAAGUCACUGGGAGGCUGAGGUUGGUGGAUCAAGUGAGCUGAGGAGCUCUGGGCUGCAGCACGCUAUGUCGAACGGGUGUCCACGCUAAGUUCGGUAUCGAUAUGGUGUUCCUGGGGAGCCCGGGACCACCAGGUUGUCUAAGGAGGGGUGAACCGCCCAGGUCGAAACGAAGCAGGUCAAAUCCCCCGUGCUGUCCAGUAGUGGGAUAAUACCUGUGAGUAGAUGCUGCAGUGCAGCCUUGGCAAAACAUCGAGACCUAAUCUUUU